Long non-coding RNA from Lathyrus oleraceus (garden pea), 514 nucleotides. RefSeq lists it as uncharacterized. Lineage: Eukaryota; Viridiplantae; Streptophyta; Magnoliopsida; Fabales; Fabaceae. The transcript is spliced from 4 exons. The record is from RefSeq and is a predicted model, not a curated record.
GUGGUGGCUUGGUCUGCACAUGGUAUGGUAGUCUUGCAAUGUGUCUGACUUGGUUUUGUUGGUGUAACACAAUUGGGUAGGCUUAGGAACUGGUUUUGUGGUCAUGAGCUACCACACACAUGUAAUGAUGUUGUGGCUUACUUGUGGUCUUGGUAUUGAUACGAAUUCAGUCUGCUAGCUGAUGUUGCUUGGGACAGGUCUUGACUUGACACAGAUUGGUGCCUAACACGUGCAAGGUUGUCUCAAUGGUCAUGUUUUGCACUCAGGUUUGGUUCUAGUUGCUACAACCUCCAUGAGCCUCUCUCAUCAUUAUGAGUUCAAAACCAAAUGCAUGUGUAUUGGUAUGUCCAAAUGGUCAUGUAGGUGUCAUGUUGCAGCUGGUAGGUAUUGGUCAUGCAGUCUCCUGUUGCAACAGAUGUUCAGUGCUGCAGAAUUAUGGUGUUUGAUGCAGGAUUGGCUCGCAUCUGUUGGUUAUGCCAUGGUGAACACAUGUUACUGCUGUUUGUUAAUGGAC